RNAcentral lists this ribosomal RNA (463 nucleotides) under Vreelandella stevensii. RNAcentral's name for it is "partial 16S ribosomal RNA". It matches the Rfam family "Bacterial small subunit ribosomal RNA", at positions 338 to 795 of the family's 1533-position model. The record is from RNAcentral. Lineage: Bacteria; Pseudomonadati; Pseudomonadota; Gammaproteobacteria; Oceanospirillales; Halomonadaceae.
CCUACGGGGAGCAGCAGUGGGGAAUAUUGGACAAUGGGCGAAAGCCUGAUCCAGCCAUGCCGCGUGUGUGAAGAAGGCCUUCGGGUUGUAAAGCACUUUCAGUGGGGAAGAAAGCCUUGGGGCUAAUACCCUCGAGGAAGGACAUCACCCACAGAAGAAGCACCGGCUAACUCCGUGCCAGCAGCCGCGGUAAUACGGAGGGUGCGAGCGUUAAUCGGAAUUACUGGGCGUAAAGCGCGCGUAGGCGGUCUGAUAAGCCGGUUGUGAAAGCCCCGGGCUCAACCUGGGAACGGCAUCCGGAACUGUCAGGCUAGAGUGCAGGAGAGGAAGGUAGAAUUCCCGGUGUAGCGGUGAAAUGCGUAGAGAUCGGGAGGAAUACCAGUGGCGAAGGCGGCCUUCUGGACUGACACUGACGCUGAGGUGCGAAAGCGUGGGUAGCAAACAGGAUUAGAUACCCCAUGUC